GAUCUUUAUUUUUAUUUUUUAUAAAUUAGUAAGAUUAAAAAAAUUUAUAGAAAAAUUAAAAAUUUUACUGGGGUGGUAUUAAAAUUUAAUUAACUUUUAUUUUUAUUUACAUUAAUAUAUGAAUAAUUGAUCCAAUUUUAUUGAUUAAAAAUUUAAGUUACCUUAGGGAUAACAGCGUAAUUUUUUUUUAGAGUUCAUAUCGACAAAAAAGAUUGC
Molecule: ribosomal RNA, 216 nt
Filed under: Wyeomyia pertinans
Lineage: Eukaryota; Metazoa; Arthropoda; Insecta; Diptera; Culicidae
Description: partial 16S ribosomal RNA
Source: RNAcentral